Molecule: ribosomal RNA, 483 nt
Filed under: uncultured bacterium
Lineage: Bacteria
Description: partial 16S ribosomal RNA
Rfam family: Bacterial small subunit ribosomal RNA
Source: RNAcentral
AUUGAACGCUGGCGGCAGGCCUAACACAUGCAAGUCGAGCGGAUGAAGGGAGCUUGCUCCUGGAUUCAGCGGCGGACGGGUGAGUAAUGCCUAGGAAUCUGCCUGGUAGUGGGGGAUAACGUCCGGAAACGGGCGCUAAUACCGCAUACGUCCUGAGGGAGAAAGUGGGGGAUCUUCGGACCUCACGCUAUCAGAUGAGCCUAGGUCGGAUUAGCUAGUUGGUGGGGUAAAGGCCUACCAAGGCGACGAUCCGUAACUGGUCUGAGAGGAUGAUCAGUCACACUGGAACUGAGACACGGUCCAGACUCCUACGGGAGGCAGCAGUGGGGAAUAUUGGACAAUGGGCGAAAGCCUGAUCCAGCCAUGCCGCGUGUGUGAAGAAGGUCUUCGGAUUGUAAAGCACUUUAAGUUGGGAGGAAGGGCAGUAAGUUAAUACCUGGCUGUUUUGACGUUACCAACAGAAUAAACACCGGCUAACUUCGU